Molecule: ribosomal RNA, 448 nt
Filed under: uncultured bacterium
Lineage: Bacteria
Description: bacterial SSU rRNA
Rfam family: Bacterial small subunit ribosomal RNA
Source: RNAcentral
AACGAACGCUGGCGGCAUGCCUAACACAUGCAAGUCGAACGAAGUCUUCGGACUUAGUGGCGCACGGGUGCGCAACGCGUGGGAAUCUGCCCUUGGGUGCGGAAUAACUUCUCGAAAGGGAUGCUAAUACCGCAUAAUGUCGUAAGACCAAAGAUUUAUCGCCCAAGGAUGAGCCCGCGUAAGAUUAGCUAGUUGGUGGGUAAAAGCCUACCAAGGCGACGAUCUUUAGCUGGUCUGAGAGGAUGAUCAGCCACACUGGGACUGAGACACGGCCCAGACUCCUACGGGAGGCAGCAGUGGGGAAUAUUGGACAAUGGGCGAAAGCCUGAUCCAGCAAUGCCGCGUGAGUGAUGAAGGCCCUAGGGUUGUAAAGCUCUUUUACCAGGGAUGAUAAUGACAGUACCUGGAGAAUAAGCUCCGGCUAACUCCGUGCCAGCAGCCGCGGUAA